RNAcentral lists this long non-coding RNA (811 nucleotides) under Setaria viridis. RNAcentral's name for it is "long non-coding RNA (SVIR_LNC008055)". The record is from RNAcentral. Lineage: Eukaryota; Viridiplantae; Streptophyta; Magnoliopsida; Poales; Poaceae.
UGGAUCUAGGCCUAUGUAUGCUGUGUCCUAUGAAUGUGGCGCUGGUAAUAAGAACGAUCAUGUUUAUGUUCUAAGACACAUUGUUGCAUUUGUGAUUGGUACAUUGACAUGGCCUAGGAUAUCUUCUUCUAACAAGGGGAAAAUAUUUAGUGGGUGAAAGGAUCGUGUGAUGCCUAGAGGAGGGGGGAGGGGUGAAUAGGCUCAAUCUCAAAUUCCUGAAAAAUUCUUCACAGCAGUUAAAUACGUCAGAACUUCCGACACGGUACCAGAACUUCCGACUGGGUUGGAACUUCCAGUACAGGGGCGGAACUUCCAACGGCAGCACAUGAGCUAUAUGAAAUUCAAAAUUAAACUUGAAACUGUAGAAACUAUUUGAAUAAAAAGUUUAGCAAUGAUGUAUAGAGACUACUGCAAUUGAUCUUUAUAAGAGAAACUUCACAAGAAUGUAGAUUGGCACGAAUCAAGCUCUAGGUCAACAAGAACUUGAAGAACACAACAAGCACACGAGACAAAGGAUUGUUUUACUAAAGUUCACUCCCAUAAAGGAAGCUACAUCUCCAUUGAGGAGCUCACAAAGAGUUGGGUCCUCACUAACCCUUUACCUCUCCCAAUCAACCACAAAGGAAGAUUAGGUCACCUACUAUUAAUCCUCCAAGAGGAUGGGCAAUACAAACUUCCCGGGCGCACCACACGAGAGGGCGCAUAAAUGGGCGAUGCCGUACCGUCUAGAAGCAAGCUUCAUGAGUAACAAACAUGAAUCAAAGACCGGAGAUGCUUCAAGUGCUCUUCAGAUGAACUUGGUUGACCUAAC